Dreissena polymorpha is the source of this 395-nucleotide long non-coding RNA. RefSeq lists it as uncharacterized. The record is from RefSeq and is a predicted model, not a curated record. NCBI's taxonomy places the organism in Eukaryota, Metazoa, Mollusca, Bivalvia, Myida, Dreissenidae. The transcript has 3 exons.
AAACAAAUAAAAUAACUGAGUUUAGUUUGUUUGCCAGAUAUUGGACCUAUAUGAGUGCAAAGGGACCCGUUCAUAGAAGUAUUUCCGAGAUAAACUUAAGAUGGUUUGUGCCAUAAUGCACCUUGCAAUUAGAAAGGCCCAUCAUUCCUAAUAUGAAGAUUUUGGGACACACAUCCUCCCAAAUGGUGUUCUCCAUAAAUAUUGAGUAGCCAGUUAUAUUUUCAAAGUAGCCAGCGACUACCUGUACAUGUGUGCUGAACGCACCACAAGAAGUAUGUCCUCAACAGAUAAACAGAAAAAGGUUGCGGAAUACGAGGCGUUUCUCAAUGAGAAAUUAAGGGAUGACUUGAAAAGAAUUCUUGAACAAAGAGAUGACAUUUAUGGGCAAAUUGCUG